GUGUUCGCUCCGGAAGCACAUGUCCUAAUAUUGGAACAAUGCAGAGAAGGUUAGCAUGACUCCUGGGUAAGGAUGACAUGCAAAUUGAUUAAGUGUUUCAUUUUUUU
Small nuclear RNA from Tupaia belangeri (northern tree shrew), 107 nucleotides. The record is from Ensembl. Lineage: Eukaryota; Metazoa; Chordata; Mammalia; Scandentia; Tupaiidae.